This 114-nucleotide ribosomal RNA is filed under the name uncultured bacterium. RNAcentral's name for it is "partial 16S ribosomal RNA". It matches the Rfam family "Bacterial small subunit ribosomal RNA", at positions 1358 to 1482 of the family's 1533-position model. The record is from RNAcentral.
UACGGUGAAUACGUCCCGGACCUUGCACACACCGCCCGUCAAGCCAUGGAGCCGGGUGUACCUAAAGUCGGUAACCGUAAGGAGCCGCCUAGGGUAAAACUGGUGACUGGGGCU